This 930-nucleotide ribosomal RNA is filed under the name Triticum aestivum (bread wheat). Its description in RNAcentral is "partial small subunit ribosomal RNA". The record is from RNAcentral. Lineage: Eukaryota; Viridiplantae; Streptophyta; Magnoliopsida; Poales; Poaceae.
AUGGCUGAAAUUGUUCUUCUUCUAGUCAUUGAAAAGAUGGUAAUCGCCGUAGCAAAUGGAGCAGCAAAUCAGGCGAGUGCUCAUUUUUCCAAGUAUGGGACCCAACUAAUAGAGCUACAGGGCAGCAUGGGCCGCGUUGUUAGGGAGCUUCGUAUAAUUCAUGAUGUUCUAUGUCAAAUGGACAUUCGAAACCGCCACAAUCAAGUGUAUGAGGGCUGGUUGGAUGAGGUGCGGAAGGUAGCACAUGCGAUGGAGGAUAUGGUGGAUGAGUACAUGUAUCAAGUUGGCCGGGAACAUGAUACUGGGUGUUGCUUCUACCUGAAGAAAGGGCUUAGAAAACCAAGAUCUCUGCUUUCCUUGAAUCAGAUAUCUUCCAAAGUGAAGGAAAUAGAGAAAGACCUUGCACACCUGUCAGAGAUGAAAUACCGAUGGGUUCCCAUGAUAAACAAUGAAGAUACUGGCAGCUUGAAUUACAUGGUCAAGAAGUCUCAAGAUCUAGCAAACAUCUCACGUUCCCUUGAUGACGAAGAUCUAGUUGGGGUGGAUGAAAAUAGAGGAAAACUUGAGCAAUGGUUGGGAAGUGACGAUGUGGAACGUUCCCUGAUAACACUGAUAGGAAUGGGUGGGCUGGGCAAAACAGCUUUAGCAUCAAAUGUCUAUAGGAAAGAGAGAGAGAAAUUUCAGUGCCAUGCAUGGGUCUCCAUCUCUCAAACUUAUUCUAGAGAAGAUGUCUUGAGGAAUAUAAUCAAGGAAUUAUUCAAAAAUGAAGUCAGUGGUCCAUCAAACAUUGCAGCGAUGGAUAUCACAAGCCUUGAAGAGACAUUGAAGAGGUAUCUAGGGCAAAUGAAGUAUUUGAUCAUAUUAGAUGAUGUUUGGACUCCAGAUGCAUUUGAAGACCUGUCUAGGUCACUUGUUUGUAAUGGUAAGUGA